GAUGAACGCUGGCGGCGUGCCUAAUACAUGCAAGUAGAACGCUGAAGGAAGGAGCUUGCUCUUUCCGGAUGAGUUGCGAACGGGUGAGUAACGCGUAGGUAACCUGCCUGGUAGCGGGGGAUAACUAUUGGAAACGAUAGCUAAUACCGCAUAACAGUAGAUGUUGCAUGAUAUCUACUUAAAAGGCGCAAUUGCACCACUACCAGAUGGACCUUCGUUGUAUUAGCUAGUUGGUGAGGUACCGGCUCACCAAGGCGACGAUACAUAGCCGACCUGAGAGGGUGGGCGGCCACACUGGGACUGAGACACGGCCCAGACUGCUACGGGAGGCAGCAGUAGGGAAUCUGCGGGAAUGGGCGGAAGUCUGACCGAGCAAGGCCGCGGGAGUGAGGAAGGUUUUCGGAUCGUAAAGCUCGGUUGUAAGGGAAGAACGAGUGUGAGAGUGGAAAGUUCACACUGUGACGGUAUCUUACCAGAAAGGGACGGCUAACUACGUG
Molecule: ribosomal RNA, 497 nt
Filed under: uncultured bacterium
Lineage: Bacteria
Description: partial 16S ribosomal RNA
Rfam family: Bacterial small subunit ribosomal RNA
Source: RNAcentral